RNAcentral lists this ribosomal RNA (484 nucleotides) under uncultured bacterium. Its description in RNAcentral is "partial 16S ribosomal RNA". It matches the Rfam family "Bacterial small subunit ribosomal RNA", at positions 30 to 507 of the family's 1533-position model. The record is from RNAcentral.
AUUGAACGCUGGCGGCAGGCCUAACACAUGCAAGUCGAGCGGAUGAAGGGAGCUUGCUCCUGGAUUCAGCGGCGGACGGGUGAGUAAUGCCUAGGAAUCUGCCUGGUAGUGGGGGAUAACGUCCGGAAACGGGCGCUAAUACCUCAUACGUCCUGAGGGAGAAAGUGGGGGAUCUUCGGACCUCACGCUAUCAGAUGAGCCUAGGUCGGAUUAGCUAGUUGGUGGGGUAAAGGCCUACCAAGGCGACGAUCCGUAACUGGUCUGAGAGGAUGAUCAGUCACACUGGAACUGAGACACGGUCCAGACUCCUACGGGAGGCAGCAGUGGGGAAUAUUGGACAAUGGGCGAAAGCCUGAUCCAGACAUGCCGCGUGUGUGAAGAAGGUCUUCGGAUUGUAAAGCACUUUAAGUUGGGAGGAAGGGCAGUAAGUUAAUACCUGGCUGUUUUGACGUUACAAACAGAAUAAGCACCGGCUAACUUCGUG